UCCAGCAGUUCCAAAAUAUUAGUCAAUGCUCGAAAGAGUGAACUAGCUAACUGAAAUCAAUUAAAAAAAUUGAUAACAUAAGGGAAAAUAAUGAUAUUACCUUAUUAUUAGUGUCGUCCAAAACUGGUGCCAGAAGACUCGGUAAGGCCAGAGACACAAACGUUAAUCGUCUUAAUCAGGCGUAAAGGGUUUGUAGGCGGCUUUUAAUUUACUUAUAAAUCUUAUAAAAUAAGUUAAGAAUAAAAGCUAGAAUCAAAUAGAGGAUAUAUCAAAUAAUGCUUAGAGUAGGUCUGAUAUCCUUAGAUACUAAGUAGAAUAUUAAAGGCGAAAGCUUUUUUCCAUAAAUGAUUGACGCUCAGAAACGAAGGUGAGGAUAGGAAAUAGGAUUAGAUACCCAAAAUACCCCUCUCUGUCAACGAUGAAUGGUAGUUAUUAAUAAUAAAUUUAUUAUUAAUGGCAAUGUUAACACGAUAACCAUUCCGCCUUGUGAGUACAACUGCAAAGUUGAAAACAAAAAAAUUAGUCGGUUUCGGAGCAAACGAAGUGAAGCAUGUUAUUUAAUUCAAUAAAUCCGCAAA
RNAcentral lists this ribosomal RNA (578 nucleotides) under Russula sp. Its description in RNAcentral is "SSU rRNA". It matches the Rfam family "Bacterial small subunit ribosomal RNA", at positions 347 to 967 of the family's 1533-position model. The record is from RNAcentral. Lineage: Eukaryota; Fungi; Basidiomycota; Agaricomycetes; Russulales; Russulaceae.